RNAcentral lists this ribosomal RNA (484 nucleotides) under uncultured bacterium. Its description in RNAcentral is "partial 16S ribosomal RNA". It matches the Rfam family "Bacterial small subunit ribosomal RNA", at positions 30 to 507 of the family's 1533-position model. The record is from RNAcentral.
AUUGAACGCUGGCGGCAGGCCUAACACAUGCAAGUCGAGCGGAUGAAGGGAGCUUGCUCCUGGAUUCAGCGGCGGACGGGUGAGUAAUGCCUAGGAAUCUGCCUGGUUGUGGGGGAUAACGUCCGGAAACGGGCGCUAAUACCGCAUACGUCCUGAGGGAGAAAGUGGGGGAUCUUCGGACCUCACGCUAUCAGAUGAGCCUAGGUCGGAUUAGCUAGUUGGUGGGGUAAAGGCCUACCAAGGCGACGAUCCGUGACUGGUCGGUGAGGCUGAGCAGUCACACGGGAACUGAAACACGGACCAUGGUACUACGGUAGGCAGCAGUCGCGAAUAUUGGGCAACGGUGGAAAGCAUGAUACAACGGGGCCAAGUGUGUGACGGAGGUCUCCCGAGCGUAAAGAAGGCCUUGGUGUGAGGAACCGCAGUCACCUAAUACCAAGCUUUAUUGACGUUAAUAAGAGAAGAAGCACCGGCUAACUUCGUG